Molecule: long non-coding RNA, 506 nt
Filed under: Androctonus crassicauda
Lineage: Eukaryota; Metazoa; Arthropoda; Arachnida; Scorpiones; Buthidae
Source: RNAcentral
GUGAUCUAAAAGCGGCUGUUUUAUAGGCCCAAGGUUCUUGCGAUGUUGCUGGUAUAAGUCCGUUUACCAUAACGAAUGUUUCCAUAGUUACUAUGUUGUAUUAUUGUUAUUCAAUUUUUGUUCUAUUUGUAAAAAGCUGAUGAUGAUUAGAAUAAAUAAUCGAAAGCGCUCCUUUUAACUACUGAUUGUAUACGUUUUUCGUAAUUUCCUGCCAUAAAAAGUGCUUGUUAGAUUUAGGAUAUUCGUUGAAGGCAGUGUUUACGUUGUUGAAUUUUUAUGAAAAUGCAGGCUGAGCCAGCCAGAGUUGUGAAGAAACAGAUCAAGAAAUUAACCCUUUUGGAAGAACGUUUUAUGUUUCUGAAACAGUGUAGACUGAAUGGUGUUUUUCCGACAUCUAUAUAUAACAUCAGAUUACCGGUACGAUCAAGAAAGUUGUUGUUAUUAACUAAGAAAAGAUGCCUCUCUAUAGCCAUAACGAAUGUGAGAUGUUUUCCGUUUUAAGUGAU